AGUGAACGCUGGCGGUAGGCCUAACACAUGCAAGUCGAACGGCAGCACAGUAAGAGCUUGCUCUUACGGGUGGCGAGUGGCGGACGGGUGAGGAAUACAUCGGAAUCUACUUUUUCGUGGGGGAUAACGUAGGGAAACUUACGCUAAUACCGCAUACGACCUACGGGUGAAAGCAGGGGUUCUUCGGACCUUGCGCGAUUGAAUGAGCCGAUGUCGGAUUAGCUAGUUGGCGGGGUAAAGGCCCACCAAGGCGACGAUCCGUAGCUGGUCUGAGAGGAUGAUCAGCCACACUGGAACUGAGAAACGGUCCAGACUCCUACGGGAGGCAGCAGUGGGGAAUAUUGGACAAUGGGCGCAAGCCUGAUCCAGCCAUACCGCGUGGGUGAAGAAGGACUUCGGGUUGUAAAGCCCUUUUGUUGGGAAAGAAAAGCAGCAGGUUAAUACCCCGCUGUUCUGACGGUACCCAAAGAAUAAGCACCGGCUAACUUCGUG
This 492-nucleotide ribosomal RNA is filed under the name uncultured bacterium. RNAcentral describes it as "partial 16S ribosomal RNA". It matches the Rfam family "Bacterial small subunit ribosomal RNA", at positions 29 to 507 of the family's 1533-position model. The record is from RNAcentral.